Molecule: ribosomal RNA, 785 nt
Filed under: uncultured Pelagibacteraceae bacterium
Lineage: Bacteria; Pseudomonadati; Pseudomonadota; Alphaproteobacteria; Candidatus Pelagibacterales; Candidatus Pelagibacteraceae
Description: bacterial SSU rRNA
Rfam family: Bacterial small subunit ribosomal RNA
Source: RNAcentral
GCCUUAUACAUGCAAGUCGAACGAAGUAGCAAUACUUAGUGGCAGACGGGUGAGUAACAUGUAGGUAUCUUCCCUUUGGUGAGGAAUAACACGAGGAAACUUGUGCUAAUACCUCAUAAGUCUUAACGGAGAAAGCUUUAUGCGCCGAAGGAUGAGCCUGCACUUGAUUAGUUUGUUGGUGGGGUAAUGGCCUACCAAGACUUUGAUCUAUAGCUGAUCUGAGAGGAUGAUCAGCCACAUUGGGACUGAGACACGGCCCAAACUCCUACGGGAGGCAGCAGUAGGGAAUAUUGCACAAUGGAGGAAACUCUGAUGCAGCGAUGCCGCGUGAGUGAAGAAGGCCUUUGGGUUGUAAAGCUCUUUCGUCGGGGAAGAAAAUGACUGUACCCGAAUAAGAAGGUCCGGCUAACUUCGUGCCAGCAGCCGCGGUAAUACGAAGGGACCUAGCGUAGUUCGGAAUUACUGGGCUUAAAGAGUUCGUAGGUGGUUAAAAAAGUUGGUGGUGAAAUCCCAGAGCUUAACUCUGGAACUGCCAUCAAAACUUUUUAGCUAGAGUAUGAUAGAGGAAAGCAGAAUUUCUAGUGUAGAGGUGAAAUUCGUAGAUAUUAGAAAGAAUACCAAUUGCGAAGGCAGCUUUCUGGAUCAUUACUGACGCUGAGGAACGAAAGCAUGGGUAGCGAAGAGGAUUAGAUACCCUCGUAGUCCAUGCCGUAAACGAUGUGUGUUAGACGUUGGAAAUUUAUUUUCAGUGUCGCAGCGAAAGCAUUAAACACACCGCCUGGGGA